This 1746-nucleotide long non-coding RNA is filed under the name Homo sapiens (human). RNAcentral describes it as "non-protein coding lnc-ZC3H11B-9:2". The record is from RNAcentral. Lineage: Eukaryota; Metazoa; Chordata; Mammalia; Primates; Hominidae.
CUGUCUCCAGUCUGACAAAGGUUAUUUGAAUGGACUUAAUCUCCCAGUAGUUGGGAGAUGUUUUAAAAACACAUGCUGUGUUUGAAUUGUGGCUGAGAGGUUUUCUUGGCAAUGUGAGGAGGAAAAUUUUUUCUGCCUCAUUAUUAUUAAUUCAUGGAUUGAGUGUUGGUUCGACCUACAGGCAUAAUAGAUUGGAACUCAGUGAAGACACAGACGUUCCUGUUGAGAGCAACCAGCUAAUGAUUACAGUUUAAAGACAAUUUCUGUGAUCAAGUUGUCAUUUGGAAGAUUAAACCCAUUUCACGAGGACUUGGAGCCUGGUCCUUGCUUUGAGGAAGCAGUGGCUUGUUUCAAGAAGCCACUUCUGAUCUAAGAAUCUACCCAGCAUGCCUAAUCAAGGAGAAGACUGCUAUUUUUUUUUCUAUUCUACAUGUACCAAAGGUGACAGCUGCCCAUUCCGUCACUGUGAAGCUGCACUAGGCAAUGAAACUGUUUGCACAUUAUGGCAAGAAGGGCGCUGUUUUCGACGGGUGUGCAGGUUUCGGCACAUGGAGAUUGAUAAAAAACGCAGUGAAAUUCCUUGUUAUUGGGAAAAUCAGCCAACAGGAUGUCAAAAAUUAAACUGCGUUUUCCAUCACAAUAGAGGACGAUAUGUUGAUGGCCUUUUCCUACCUCCGAGCAAAAGUGUGUUGCCCACUGUGCCUGAGUCACCAGAAGAGGAAGUGAAGGCUAGCCAACUUUCAGUUCAGCAGAACAAAUUGUCUGUCCAGUCCAAUACUUCCCCUCAGCUGCGGAGCGUUAUGAAAGUAGAAAGUUCCGAAAAUGUUCCUAGCCCCAAGCAUCCACCAGUUGUAAUUAAUGCUGCAGAUGAUGAUGAAGAUGAUGAUGAUCAGUUUUCUGAGGAAGGUGAUGAAACCAAAACACCUACCCUGCAACCAACUCCUGAAGUUCACAAUGGAUUACGAGUGACUUCUGUCCGGAAACCUGCAGUCAAUAUAAAGCAAGGUGAAUGUUUGCAUUUUGGAAUAAAAACUCUUGAGGAAAUUAAGUCAAAGAAAAUGAAGGAAAAAUCUGAGGAGCAAGGUGAGGGUUCUUCAGGAGUUUCCAGUCUUUUACUCCACCCUGAGCCUGUUCCAGGUCCUGAAAAAGAAAAUGUCAGGACUGUGGUGAGGACAGUAACUCUCUCCACCAAACAAGGAGAAGAACCCUUGGUUAGAUUGGGCCUUACUGAGACACUGGGGAAACGAAAAUUUUCGACAGGCGGUGACAGUGAUCCUCCAUUAAAGCGUAGCCUGGCACAGAGGCUAGGGAAGAAAGUUGAAGCUCCAGAAACUAACACUGACGAAACACCAAAGAAAGCUCAAGUUUCCAAGUCUCUUAAGGAGCGAUUAGGCAUGUCAGCUGAUCCAAAUAAUGAGGACGCAACAGAUAAAGUUAAUAAAGUUGGUGAGAUCCAUGUGAAGACAUUAGAAGAAAUGCUUCUUGAAAGAGCCAGUCAGAAACAUGGGGAAUCGCAAACUAAACUCAAGACAGAAGGACCUUCAAAAACUGAUGAUUCUACUUCAGGAGCAAGAAGCUCCUCCACUAUCCGUAUCAAAACCUUCUCUGAGGUCCUGGCUGAAGAAGAACAUAGGCAGCAGGAAGCAGAGAGACAAAAAAGCAAAAAGGAUACAACUUGCAUCAAGCUAAAGACUGAUAGUGAAAUUAAAAAAACAGUAGUUUUGCCACCCAUUGUUGCCAGCAAAG